AGAGUAAGAGUGCGCGCGUUGGAUCUCUGAUCCGCAGUGCCGCCCGGACGGGGAGUUGCCGGGAGGACGAAAAGCAUCGCUUGCGGUUCGCACUCUGCAUCCCGCU
RNAcentral lists this non-coding RNA (106 nucleotides) under bovine gut metagenome. RNAcentral describes it as "THF riboswitch". It matches the Rfam family "THF (Tetrahydrofolate) riboswitch aptamer". Rfam says of the family: THF riboswitch presents a pseudoknot that joins P1-P2 and the loop of P3 and two THF binding. The record is from RNAcentral.